Molecule: ribosomal RNA, 364 nt
Filed under: uncultured bacterium
Lineage: Bacteria
Description: bacterial SSU rRNA
Rfam family: Bacterial small subunit ribosomal RNA
Source: RNAcentral
AAUGAACGUUGGCGGCGUGGAUUAGGCAUGCAAGUCGCGCGGAAAGGCCCCUUCGGGGGUGCUCGAGCGGCGAAAGGGAGAGUAACCCGUGGAUUACCUACCCUCAGGCCCGGGAUAGCUGCGGGAAACCGCAAUUAAUACCGGAUAAUGUCCCUGGACCAAAGGUGUGAUUCCUCCUGAGGAUGGGUCCGCGUCCUAUUAGCUAGUUGGUAGGGUAACGGCCUACCAAGGCGAUGAUGGGGUACUGGGUGGAGAGCAUGACCCACGCUCACUGGGACUGAGACACUGCCCACGACACCUACGGGUGGCUGCAGUCGAGGAUCUUCGGCAAUGAGCGCAAGCUUGACCGAGCGACGCCGCGUGC